This 409-nucleotide ribosomal RNA is filed under the name uncultured bacterium. RNAcentral's name for it is "bacterial SSU rRNA". It matches the Rfam family "Bacterial small subunit ribosomal RNA", at positions 30 to 418 of the family's 1533-position model. The record is from RNAcentral.
AGUGAACGCUGGCGGCAGGCCUAACACAUGCAAGUCGAGCGGCAGCGCGUCCGACCACCCUCGGGUGGUCGGAUGGCGGCGAGCGGCGGACGGGUGAGGAAUGCAUCGGAAUCUGCCUCGUUGUGGGGGAUAACGUAGGGAAACUUACGCUAAUACCGCAUACGACCUACGGGUGAAAGUGGGGGACCUUCGGGCCUCACGCGAUGAGAUGAGCCGAUGCCGGAUUAGCUAGUUGGCGGGGUAAAGGGACCCGACCAACGGACGACGAUCCGUAGCUGGUCUGAGAGGAUGAUCAGCCACACUGGAACUGAGACACGGUCCAGACUCCUACGGGAGGCAGCAGUGGGGAAGUAUUAGACAAUGGGGGCGAACCCUGAUCCAGCCAUGCCGCGUGUGUGAAGAAGGCCUC